GUACAUCCAUUGCCGAUCCAUCUACAAAGUAUUACCAAACCAAAGAUAUUCUGAUCAUCCAUAGAAUUAUGAAGCAUAACAAACAUGAUACCAAUUUCAUAAAACUCAAAUAUUGCUGAAAAUUUAGAUAGAAAUACACAAAUUUAAAAUUCAGACCCAAACAACAUGAUACACUACGACAAACCAUCCACUUAGUACUAUCUAAGAGGACUUUAAGCAUCCUUGGGUGUCGAAGACAAAGAUUUAGCUGACCCAACCUCAUCCUGUGGAUUAUUUGUGUCUCCUACAACGGUAGUACUCAGUGGACCUGAAACCCUCGGGACUGGCGGUGGGGCAUAAUGACCACCAAAAGGAUGUUUCUGACCUGCCGUAACAGCAUCUUCGUGACAUCUUUCCAAAUAACGAAGCAUUACUCUCUCCACACUCCUAUUUUUUUUGGGCUUAUCGUGAGGGCCAAUUAUAGUUUCCCCUUGCCGCGAGAGGAACGACGAUCACCCCCCCCCCAAUCGCCACUCCCUCCAACCAUGUUGAUUGGACAACACUUUAUUUUUUAAAUUUGACAAUAAUAAAUUAGUAUUACAAACAAUUUAUUUAUCUCUUUGUACCACAAUUUAUUUAUUAGCUCAUAUUUGCAAAUGACUAAACUAUGAACAAAUUAUAUUUUUUUCCACAAUUUAUUUAGCUCAAACAUAACAUAUAAAUGAAAACUUUCUCUAUUGCAGCUUAUUCUAAAAAUGAAUAAUUACAAACCUCUAUUUAAUCUUAUUAUCUCUAUGUACCACAAUUUAUUUAGUUCAUAUUUGCAAAUGACUAAACUAUGAACAAAUUAUAUUUUUUGCCCACAAUUUAUUUAGUUCAUAUUUGUAAAGGACUAAACUAUGAAAUUAAUCUCUCUAUUAUUCCUCUA
RNAcentral lists this long non-coding RNA (907 nucleotides) under Setaria viridis. RNAcentral's name for it is "long non-coding RNA (SVIR_LNC005679)". The record is from RNAcentral. Lineage: Eukaryota; Viridiplantae; Streptophyta; Magnoliopsida; Poales; Poaceae.